AUCUGAUGAUGUGGGCAGCUUGCACAUACUCUCUUCAAUCUUUCCCAAUAUUCAUAUAAACCUUCUACAUGCAAUUGUCUGAUUCCAGAGAUAUCUUUUCUGAUUGU
Non-coding RNA from Lupinus angustifolius (narrow-leaved blue lupine), 107 nucleotides. The record is from Rfam. Lineage: Eukaryota; Viridiplantae; Streptophyta; Magnoliopsida; Fabales; Fabaceae.